UGGGGAAUUUUGGACAAUGGGCGAAAGCCUGAUCCAGCAAUGCCGCGUGUGUGAAGAAGGCCUUCGGGUUGUAAAGCACUUUUGUCCGGAAAGAAAUCCUUGGCUCUAAUACAGUCGGGGGAUGACGGUACCGGAAGAAUAAGCACCGGCUAACUACGUGCCAGCAGCCGCGGUAAUACGUAGGGUGCAAGCGUUAAUCGGAAUUACUGGGCGUAAAGCGUGCGCAGGCGGUUUGCUAAGACCGAUGUGAAAUCCCCGGGCUCAACCUGGGAACUGCAUUGGUGACUGGCAGGCUAGAGUAUGGCAGAGGGGGGUAGAAUUCCACGUGUAGCAGUGAAAUGCGUAGAGAUGUGGAGGAAUACCAAUGGCGAAGGCAGCCCCCUGGGCCAAUACUGACGCUCAUGCACGAAAGCGUGGGGAGCAAACAGGAUUAGAUACCCUGGUAGUCCACGCCCUAAACGAUGUCAACUAGUUGUUGGGGAUUCAUUUCCUUAGUAACGUAGCUAACGCGUGAAGUUGACCGCCUGGGGAGUACGGUCGCAAGAUUAAAACUUAAAGGAAUUGAC
Molecule: ribosomal RNA, 566 nt
Filed under: uncultured bacterium
Lineage: Bacteria
Description: partial 16S ribosomal RNA
Rfam family: Bacterial small subunit ribosomal RNA
Source: RNAcentral